CGGGAAGUAGCUCAGCUUGGUAGAGCACUUGGUUUGGGACCAAGGGGUCGCAGGUUCGAAUCCUGUUUUCCCGA
This 74-nucleotide transfer RNA is filed under the name Staphylococcus aureus. RNAcentral describes it as "tRNA-Pro". It matches the Rfam family "tRNA". Rfam says of the family: Transfer RNA (tRNA) molecules are approximately 80 nucleotides in length. RNAcentral also lists the same sequence under 3 other names. The record is from RNAcentral. Lineage: Bacteria; Bacillati; Bacillota; Bacilli; Caryophanales; Staphylococcaceae.